RNAcentral lists this ribosomal RNA (497 nucleotides) under uncultured bacterium. RNAcentral describes it as "partial 16S ribosomal RNA". It matches the Rfam family "Bacterial small subunit ribosomal RNA", at positions 28 to 507 of the family's 1533-position model. The record is from RNAcentral.
GAUGAACGCUGGCGGCGUGCCUAAUACAUGCAAGUCGAGCGAACAGAUGAGGAGCUUGCUCCUCUGACGUUAGCGGCGGACGGGUGAGUAACACGUGGAUAACCUACCUAUAAGACUGGGAUAACUUCGGGAAACCGGAGCUAAUACCGGAUAAUAUAUUGAACCGCAUGGUUCAAUAGUGAAAGACGGUUUUGCUGUCACUUAUAGAUGGAUCCGCGCCGGAUUAGCUAGUUGGUAAGGUAACGGCUUACCAAGGCAACGAUGCGUAGCCGACCUGAGAGGGUGAUCGGCCACACUGGAACUGAGACACGGUCCAGACUCCUACGGGAGGCAGCAAUAGGGAAUCUUCCGCAAUGGGCGAAAGCCUGACGGAGCAACGCCGCGUGAGUGAUGAAGGUCUUCGGAUCGUAAAACUCUGUUAUUAGGGAAGAACAAAUGUGUAAGUAACUAUGCACGUCUUGACGGUACCUAAUCAGAAAGCCACGGCUAACUACGUG